GGGGCCUGGGAUAACUGUUCUAACGGACAGGUAAUACCAGGUAAGCCGGUUGUGUCGCAUGACACGAUCGGGAGAGGGCAACCGCCCUAGGAGGGGCCCAUGCGAUAUUAGCUAGUUGGCGGGGUAAUGGCCCACCAAGGCGAUGAUGUCUAGCGGGUGUGAGAGCACGACCCGCGCCAUUGGCACUGAGACACUGGCCAGACUCCUACGGGAGGCUGCAGUCGAGAAUCUUCGGCAAUGGGCGAAAGCCUGACCGAGCGACGCCGCGUGUGCGAUGAAGGCCCUUCGGGUUGUAAAGCACUGUCGAGAGGAAACAAGCCGCAAGGUUGAGUGACCUCUGGAGGAAGCACGGGCUAAGUUCGUGCCAGCAGCCGCGGUAAGACGAACCGUGCGAACGUUGUUCGGAAUCACUGGGCUUAAAGGGUGCGUAGGCGGAAUGGCAAGUCGGAGGUGAAAGCCCCCAGCUUAACUGGGGAAGUGCCCUCGAUACUGCUGUUCUCGAGAGAGGUAGGGGCGUGUGGAACUUCCGGUGGAGCGGUGAAAUGCGUAGAUAUCGGAAGGAACGCCGGUGGCGAAAGCGAUGCGCUGGACCUUUUCUGACGCUGA
This 606-nucleotide ribosomal RNA is filed under the name uncultured Planctomycetia bacterium. RNAcentral's name for it is "bacterial SSU rRNA". It matches the Rfam family "Bacterial small subunit ribosomal RNA", at positions 133 to 749 of the family's 1533-position model. The record is from RNAcentral. Lineage: Bacteria; Pseudomonadati; Planctomycetota; Planctomycetia.